GACGAACGCUGGCGGCGUGCUUAACACAUGCAAGUCGAACGGUGAAGGGACUGGUUUUGCUGGUCCUGGAUGAGUGGCGAACGGGUGAGUAACACGUGAGUAACCUGCCCCCUUCUUCUGGAUAACCGCAUGAAAGUGUGGCUAAUACGGGAUAUUCUGGGUCUGUCGCAUGGUGGGCCUGGGAAAGAUUGCGCCUUUUUUGGUGUUUUUGGUGGGGGAUGGGCUCGCGGCCUAUCAGCUUGUUGGUGGGGUGAUGGCCUACCAAGGCGGUGACGGGUAGCCGGCCUGAGAGGGUGGACGGUCACACUGGGACUGAGACACGGCCCAGACUCCUACGGGAGGCAGCAGUGGGCAAUAUUGCACAAUGGGCGCAAGCCUGAUGCAGCGACGCCGCGUGAGGGAUGGAGGCCUUCGGGUUGUGAACCUCUUUCGCCAGUGAAGCAGGCCUGCCUCUUUUUGUGGGUGGGUUGACGGUAGCUGGAUAAGAAGCGCCGGCUAACUACGUG
RNAcentral lists this ribosomal RNA (506 nucleotides) under uncultured bacterium. Its description in RNAcentral is "partial 16S ribosomal RNA". It matches the Rfam family "Bacterial small subunit ribosomal RNA", at positions 28 to 507 of the family's 1533-position model. The record is from RNAcentral.